RNAcentral lists this ribosomal RNA (492 nucleotides) under uncultured bacterium. RNAcentral's name for it is "partial 16S ribosomal RNA". It matches the Rfam family "Bacterial small subunit ribosomal RNA", at positions 29 to 507 of the family's 1533-position model. The record is from RNAcentral.
AGUGAACGCUGGCGGUAGGCCUAACACAUGCAAGUCGAACGGCAGCACAGUAAGAGCUUGCUCUUACGGGUGGCGAGUGGCGGACGGGUGAGGAAUACAUCGGAAUCUACUUUUUCGUGGGGGAUAACGUAGGGAAACUUACGCUAAUACCGCAUACGACCUACGGGUGAAAGCAGGGGAUCUUCGGACCUUGCGCGAUUGAAUGAGCCGAUGUCGGAUUAGCUAGUUGGCGGGGUAAAGGCCCACCAAGGCGACGAUCCGUAGCUGGUCUGAGAGGAUGGUCAGCCACACUGGAACUGAAACACGGUCCAGACUCCUACGGGAGGCGGCAGUGGGGAAUAUUGGAAAAUGGGCGCAAGCCUGAUCCAGCCAUACCGCGUGGGUGAAGAAGGCCUUCGGGUUGUAAAGCCCUUUUGUUGGGAAAGAAAAGCAGCAGGUUAAUACCCCGCUGUUCUGACGGUACCCAAAGAAUAAGCACCGGCUAACUUCGUG